This 656-nucleotide ribosomal RNA is filed under the name Helix pomatia (Roman snail). RNAcentral's name for it is "partial 16S ribosomal RNA". Lineage: Eukaryota; Metazoa; Mollusca; Gastropoda; Stylommatophora; Helicidae. The record is from RNAcentral.
UACCUAAACAAAUUUAAAAAGUUAAGCUUUUAAAUAACUAUUAAAGAUAUUAUCCCCUUGUAGUGUAGUUUAAUAACUAUCUACAUAAUAACUUAAUAUAAAGUAUAAUAGUUUAUAUUUUAUAAUAUGACAUUAACAAUUUUGUUUAAUAUUUGAAAAUGUUAGUAUUAGUAAUAUUAGUAUAUGUGCUAAAGGAACUCGGCAAAAAACCACUCAACUGUUUAUCAAAAACAUAGCUAUAUGAAUUAAUAUAUAGUUAUUUCUGCUCAAUGACUUAAAUAGCCGCAGUACUCUGACUGUGCAAAGGUAGCAUAAUCAGUUGGCUUUUAAUUAGAGUCUGGUAUGAACGAAAAUAUGGGUAGUAACUGUCUUAGCACAUUUUUUCGAACUUAUUAAACACGUGCAAAUGCUUGUAAUUUAACAAUAGACGAGAAGACCCUAGAAACUUGGACAAGUUUUUGUUGGGGCGACAGAAUUACACUUAACUAAUCUUAUAAUACACGACGCGAUGUUGAAAGAAUAAGUUACUCUAGGGAUAACAGCAUAAUUUUAUUAGUUUGUGACCUCGAUGUUGGACUAGGUACUAUACCCUUAAGGCAAGGAUAUAUUAUGCUCUGUUCGAGCAAAAUUACCUACAUGAUCUGAGUUCAGACCGG